Molecule: ribosomal RNA, 253 nt
Filed under: uncultured bacterium
Lineage: Bacteria
Description: partial 16S ribosomal RNA
Rfam family: Bacterial small subunit ribosomal RNA
Source: RNAcentral
UACGUAGGGGGCGAGCGUUGUCCGGAGUUACUGGGCGUAAAGGGUGCGUAGGUGGCGCCGUAAGUCGGGUGUGAAAUUUCGGAGCUUAACUCCGAAACUGCAUUCGAUACUGCGGUGCUUGAGGACUGGAGAGGAGACUGGAAUUCAUGGUGUAGCAGUGAAAUGCGUAGAGAUCAUGAGGAAGACCAGUGGCGAAGGCGGGUCUCUGGACAGUUCCUGACACUGAGGCACGAAGGCCAGGGGAGCAAACGGG